Molecule: non-coding RNA, 48 nt
Filed under: Schistosoma mattheei
Lineage: Eukaryota; Metazoa; Platyhelminthes; Trematoda; Strigeidida; Schistosomatidae
Source: RNAcentral
AUCCAGCUGACGAGUCCUAAAUAGGGUGAAACGCUCAUCAAUCUGGAU